GCUCGAUCCUGGCUCAGAUUGAACGCUGGCGGGAUGCUUUAUACACAUGCAAGCCAACCAGCACGGGACUGUCCGGUGGCGAGUGGCGAACGGUGAGUAAUGUAUCGGAACGUGUCAUAGCGGGGGGAUAACUACGCGAAAGCGUAGCCACAUCGCAUACGCCCCCUUGGGGAAAGCGGGGAAUCUUCGCCUCGCACUAUUAGAGGCCUGAUAUCGGAUUAGCUAGUUGGUGGGGUAACGGCUCACCAAGGCGACGAGAUCCGUGGCUGGUUUGAGAGGACGACCAGCCACACUGACUGGAGACGGCCCAGACUCCUACGGGAGGCAGCAGGGGGGAAUUUUUGGACAAUGGGGGAAACCCUGAUCCAGCCAUCCCGCGUGCAUAAGGCCUCUGGGUUGUGGUAAAGACUCCUUACAGGAAAGAAACGGCACGGGAUAAUACUCCCCGUGCAACUGACGGUACCUGCAGAAUAAGCACCGGCUAACUACGCCAGCAGCCGCGGUAAUAAUGCAGGUGCAAGGCAAUCGGAAUUACUGGGCGUAAAGCGUGCGCAGGCGGUUCGGAAAGAAAGAUGUGGAAAUCCCAGAGCUUAACUUUUGAACCGGCAUUUUUAACUACCGAGCUAGAGUGUGUCAGAGGGAGGUGGAAUUCCGCGUGUAGCAGUGAAAUGUAGAUAUGUGGAGGAACAACUGACAUGUGAAGGCAGCCUCCUGGGGAUAACACUGACGCUCAUGCACGAGCGUGUGAGCAAACAGGAUUAGAUAAUUUUAGUCCACGCUCCUAAACGAUGUCAACUAGCUGUUGGGGCCUUCGGGCCUUGGUAGCGCAGCUAACGGGCAGUGGGAAGUUGACUGCCUGGGGAGUACGGUCGCAAGAUUAAAACUCAAAGGAAUUACGACCCGGCACAAGCGGUGGAUGAUGUGGAUUAAUUCGAUGCAACGCGAAAACCUUACCUACCCUUGACAUGUCUGGAAUCCCGAAGAGAUUUGGGAGUGCUCGCAAGAGAACCGGAACACAGGUGCUGCAUGGCUGUCGUCAGCUCGUGUCGUGAGAUGUUGGGUUAAGUCCUUUGCAACGAGCGCAACCCUUGUCAUUAGUUACAUGAAAGGGCACUCUACCAGACUGCCGGUGACAAACCGAGGAAGGUGGAUGACGUCAAGUCCCCGCGGCCUGCGGGUAGGCUUCACACGUCAUACAAUGGUCGGGACAGAGGGUCGCUAACCCGCGAGGGUUUAAUCCCAGAAACCCGAUCAGUCUGAUCGCAGUUCGCAACCUCGACUGCGUGAAGUCGGAAUCGCUAGUAAUCGCGGAUCAGCAAUGUCGCGGUGAAUACGUUCCCGGGUCUUGUACACACCGCCCGUCACACCAUGGGAGUGGGUUUUACCAGAAGUAGUUAGCCUAACCGUAAGGAGUGGCGAUUACCACGGUAGGAUCUGGCGACUGGGGUGAAGUCGUAACAAGGCAA
RNAcentral lists this ribosomal RNA (1466 nucleotides) under uncultured Bordetella sp. Its description in RNAcentral is "partial 16S-23S ribosomal RNA intergenic spacer". It matches the Rfam family "Bacterial small subunit ribosomal RNA". Lineage: Bacteria; Pseudomonadati; Pseudomonadota; Betaproteobacteria; Burkholderiales; Alcaligenaceae. The record is from RNAcentral.